RNAcentral lists this ribosomal RNA (426 nucleotides) under uncultured bacterium. RNAcentral describes it as "partial 16S ribosomal RNA". It matches the Rfam family "Bacterial small subunit ribosomal RNA", at positions 354 to 796 of the family's 1533-position model. The record is from RNAcentral.
GUGAGGAAUUUUCCGCAAUGGGCGAAAGCCUGACGGAGCAAUGCCGCGUGAAGGAUGAAGGCCUAUGGGUUGUAAACUUCUUUCGUCAGAAAAGAAUUAUGACGGUAUCUGAGGAAUAAGCAUCGGCUAACUCUGUGCAAGCAGCCGCGGUAAGACAGAGGAUGCAAGCGUUAUCCGGCAUGAUUGGGCGUAAAGCGAUUGUAGGUUGUUUAAAAAGUAUUCUGUCAAAGAUUAGGGCUUAACCCUAGAUAGGAAGAAUAAACUUUUAAGCUCGAGUUUGGUAGAGGCAGAGGGAAUUCCCGGUGGAGCGGUGAAAUGCGUAGAUAUCGGGAGGAACACCAAAGGCGAAGGCACUCUGCUGGGCCAAUACUAACACUGAGAGACGAAAGCGAGGGGAGCAAAUGGGAUUAGAAACCCCAGUAGUCC